This 1215-nucleotide ribosomal RNA is filed under the name metagenome. RNAcentral's name for it is "bacterial SSU rRNA". It matches the Rfam family "Bacterial small subunit ribosomal RNA", at positions 8 to 1245 of the family's 1533-position model. The record is from RNAcentral.
AGAGUUUGAUCAUGGCUCAGGACGAACGCUGGCGGCGCGCCUAACACAUGCAAGUCGAACGAGCGAGAGAGAGCUUGCUUUCUCGAGCGAGUGGCGAACGGGUGAGUAACGCGUGAGGAACCUGCCUCAAAGAGGGGGACAACAGUUGGAAACGACUGCUAAUACCGCAUAAGCCCACGGGUCGGCAUCGACCAGAGGGAAAAGGAGCAAUCCGCUUUGAGAUGGCCUCGCGUCCGAUUAGCUAGUUGGUGAGGUAACGGCCCACCAAGGCGACGAUCGGUAGCCGGACUGAGAGGUUGAACGGCCACAUUGGGACUGAGACACGGCCCAGACUCCUACGGGAGGCAGCAGUGGGGAAUAUUGCACAAUGGGGGAAACCCUGAUGCAGCGACGCCGCGUGGAGGAAGAAGGUCUUCGGAUUGUAAACUCCUGUUGUUGAGGAAGAUAAUGACGGUACUCGACAAGGAAGUGACGGCUAACUACGUGCCAGCAGCCGCGGUAAAACGUAGGUCACAAGCGUUGUCCGGAAUUACUGGUGUAAAGGGAGCGCAGGCGGGAAGACAAGUUGGAAGUGAAAUCCAUGGGCUUAACCCAUGAACUGCUUUCAAAACUGUUUUUCUUGAGUAGUGCAGAGGUAGGCGGAAUUCCCGGUGUAGCGGUGGAAUGCGUAGAUAUCGGGAGGAACACCAGUGGCGAAGGCGGCCUACUGGGCACCAACUGACGCUGAGGCUCGAAAGUGUGGGUAGCAAACAGGAUUAGAUACCCUGGUAGUCCACACUGUAAACGAUGAUUACUAGGUGUUGGAGGAUUGACCCCUUCAGUGCCGCAGUUAACACAAUAAGUAAUCCACCUGGGGAGUACGACCGCAAGGUUGAAACUCAAAGGAAUUGACGGGGGCCCGCACAAGCAGUGGAGUAUGUGGUUUAAUUCGACGCAACGCGAAGAACCUUACCAAGUCUUGACAUCCGUUGACCGCUGUAGAAAUACAGUUUUCCUUCGGGACAGCGAGACAGGUGGUGCAUGGUUGUCGUCAGCUCGUGUCGUGAGAUGUUGGGUUAAGUCCCGCAACGAGCGCAACCCUUAUGGUCAGUUACUACGCAAGAGGACUCUGGCCAGACUGCCGUUGACAAAACGGAGGAAGGUGGGGAUGACGUCAAAUCAUCAUGCCCUUUAUGACUCGGGCUACACACGUACUACAAUGGCGUUAAACAAAGA